GGCUUCAUAGCUCAGUUUGGGAGAGCAGCAGACUGAAGUUUUCCAGUCCAUCUGAAGGUCCCGCGUUCGAUCCGCGGUGAAGCCA
Molecule: non-coding RNA, 85 nt
Organism: Favolaschia claudopus
Lineage: Eukaryota; Fungi; Basidiomycota; Agaricomycetes; Agaricales; Mycenaceae
Source: the annotation of a GenBank genome assembly